UACACUCCUGCGGGAGGCAGCAGUGGGGAAUUUUGGACAAUGGGCGAAAGCCUGAUCCAGCCAUGCCGCGUGCAGGAUGAAGGCCUUCGGGUUGUAAACUGCUUUUGUACGGAACGAAACGGCCUUUUCUAAUAAGAGGGCUAAUGACGGUACCGUAAGAAUAAGCACCGGCUAACUACGUGCCAGCAGCCGCGGUAAUACGUAGGGUGCAAGCGUUAAUCGGAAUUACUGGGCGUAAAGCGUGCGCAGGCGGUUAUGUAAGACAGUUGUGAAAUCCCCGGGCUCAACCUGGGAACUGCAUCUGUGACUGCAUAGCGAGAGUACGGUAGAGGGGGAUGGAAUUCCGCGUGUAGCAGUGAAAUGCGUAGAUAUGCGGAGGAACACCGAUGGCGAAGGCAAUCCCCUGGACCUGUACUGACGCUCAUGCACGAAAGCGUGGGGAGCAAACAGGAUUAGAAACCCCAGUAGUCCCA
This 473-nucleotide ribosomal RNA is filed under the name uncultured organism. RNAcentral describes it as "partial 16S ribosomal RNA". It matches the Rfam family "Bacterial small subunit ribosomal RNA", at positions 332 to 797 of the family's 1533-position model. The record is from RNAcentral.